UGGAAUUGCAGCUUGGCUCUUCAGUGACUGGAUUGAUUGAUGGGAAAUUUGAUGAUGGAUAUCUGGUUACUGUGAACUUGGGCUUUGAUCAACUUAAAGGUGUCUUGUAUCAUAUUCCUAAUGAACUUCACACGUCUCAGAGUUCUCAUACUUCAGAUUUACCUCCUCACCGGCACCAAAAAAGAUCUCGGUUAUUGGUACGCGAUCACUCUCAGCCCAAGUCUAAUGAGAGUGGUUACAAUUUCUUCUUUGCUGAACAUUAUACUCAACUCAAGCCUCUAUACCAUGGAGAAGAGAGAGUUAUUAGCAAGAAGAUUGGGCUGCUAUGGAACAGCCUCACAGAGGCAGAAAAGCAGGUAUAUCAGGAGAAGGGUAUGAAGGACAAGGAGAGAUACAGG
Molecule: unclassified non-coding RNA, 398 nt
Filed under: Hevea brasiliensis (rubber tree)
Lineage: Eukaryota; Viridiplantae; Streptophyta; Magnoliopsida; Malpighiales; Euphorbiaceae
Source: RNAcentral